This 23-nucleotide microRNA is filed under the name Canis lupus familiaris (dog). RNAcentral's name for it is "Cfa-Mir-2114_5p (mature (guide))". The record is from RNAcentral. Lineage: Eukaryota; Metazoa; Chordata; Mammalia; Carnivora; Canidae.
UAGUCCCUUCCUUGAAGGAUCGG